RNAcentral lists this ribosomal RNA (491 nucleotides) under uncultured bacterium. Its description in RNAcentral is "partial 16S ribosomal RNA". It matches the Rfam family "Bacterial small subunit ribosomal RNA", at positions 29 to 506 of the family's 1533-position model. The record is from RNAcentral.
AGUGAACGCUGGCGGUAGGCCUAGCACAUGCAAGUCGAACGGCAGCACAGUAAGAGCUUGCUCUUACGGGUGGCGAGUGGCGGACGGGUGAGGAAUACAUCGGAAUCUACUUUUUCGUGAGGGAUAACGUAGGGAAACUUACGCUAAUACCGCAUACGACCUACGGGUGAAAGCAGGGGAUCUUCGGACCUUGCGCGAUUGAAUGAGCCGAUGUCGGAUUAGCUAGUUGGCGGGGUAAAGGCCCACCAAGGCGACGAUCCGUAGCUGGUCUGAGAGGAUGAUCGGCAAAAAGGGAGAGGGGAAACGGACCAGAGUCCAAGGGGAGGCAGAGGUGGGAAAAAUUGAAAAAGGGGCGAAAGCCUGAACAAGCAAAACGGCGUGGGUGAAGAAGGCCUUCGGGUGGUAAAGCCCUUUUGUGGGGAAAGAAAAGCAGCAGGUUAAAACCCCGCUGUUCUGACGGAACCAAAAGAAUAAGCACCGGCUAACUUCGU